Molecule: long non-coding RNA, 939 nt
Filed under: Junco hyemalis (dark-eyed junco)
Lineage: Eukaryota; Metazoa; Chordata; Aves; Passeriformes; Passerellidae
Description: lncRNA (ENSJHYG00000013000.1)
Source: RNAcentral
ACUUUUUUUGGGGUUUCUUUGCUGUUUUUUAAGGUUCUUGCACGUUUUUUAGAUGAUUUUUUGAGGUACCUCGAGGUUCUUUUGGACUUCCUCAACUUUUUUUGGGAGUUUCUGAAGGGUUCCGCUUCACGUCGGUGCGGGGGGACAAGGUGGACAUCCUGUACAACAACAUCAAGCACGCCGUGUUCCAGCCCUGCGACGGCGAGAUGAUCAUCGUGCUGCACUUCCACCUCAAGAACGCGAUCAUGUUCGGCAAGAAGCGGCACACGGACGUGCAGUUCUACACCGAGGUGGGCGAGAUCACCACGGACUUGGGCAAACACCAGCACAUGCACGACCGCGACGACCUCUACGCCGAGCAGAUGGAGCGGGAGAUGCGGCACAAGCUGAAAACGGCCUUCAAGAACUUCAUCGAGAAGGUCGAGGCGCUGACCAAGGAGGAGCUCGAGUUCGAGGUGCCCUUCCGGGAGCUGGGGUGAGUUUGGGCCGAAAAACGGCGAAAACGGGAAAAAAGGGGAAAAACGGUGAAAAAAUGGUGAAAAAAUUGGGAAAAAAUGUGACAAAAUUGGGAAAAAAUGGGGAAAAACUAGGAAGAAAUGGGGGGGAAAAUGGGAGGGAAAAUGAGGGACAAAAGAGAAAAAAAUGGUGCAAAAAUGGGGGGAAAAAAGGGGAAAAUGGGAAAAACUGGGAUUUUGGGGCCGUUUUUGGGGAUUUUGGGGCCGUUCUGAGGGAUUUUGGAUCACUCCAGUUUUUGGGUUUGUUCCCAGGGAUUUUGGGGCCUUUCUUGGGGAUUUUGAGGCUGUUCCUGUAAAUUUUGGGGCCGUUCUUUGGGCUUUUGGCUCAUUACCAAUUUUGGGUUAAAUCCUGGCAAAUUUGGUGCCAUUUUUGGGGAUUUUGGGGCUUUUACUGGUGAUUUUGGGUCACUCUGGAUUUUGGGUU